This 253-nucleotide ribosomal RNA is filed under the name uncultured bacterium. Its description in RNAcentral is "partial 16S ribosomal RNA". It matches the Rfam family "Bacterial small subunit ribosomal RNA", at positions 524 to 776 of the family's 1533-position model. The record is from RNAcentral.
UACGGAGGGUGCAAGCGUUAUCCGGAUUCACUGGGUUUAAAGGGUGCGUAGGUGGGUUGAUAAGUCAGUGGUGAAAUCCCCGAGCUUAACUUGGGAACUGCCAUUGAUACUAUUGAUCUUGAAUACCGUGGAGGUCAGCGGAAUAUGUCAUGUAGCGGUGAAAUGCUUAGAUAUGACAUAGAACAUCAAUUGCGAAGGCAGCUGGCUACGCGAAUAUUGACACUGAUGCACGAAAGCGUGGGGAUCAAACAGG